Molecule: long non-coding RNA, 683 nt
Organism: Amphiprion ocellaris (clown anemonefish)
Lineage: Eukaryota; Metazoa; Chordata; Actinopteri; Pomacentridae
Source: Ensembl
UAUGAACCAUAAAGGAGUUUGUGUUAAAACAUGUUAAAUCCCAUUAAACAUAAAUGCAUUAUUAGUGUGACAGGAGGUCGUCUCCCUCCUGGCCGCUGUUGGGCGCCGUGCCAGCGGUGCGAGUACCGUAAUCGCUGGGCGGUACCAUGCGCCCUUUAUAUUCAGGUGUGCAGGGGUGGAGCUUCCUGUCCUCCGCUCCCUGCUUGCUUCCGUGGUGGCUGUGGUUUGGCAUGACGGCGUUGGUGGACGCAGCCGUUCUCUGGUGUAUCCAGCUGUUGUGAUUGCCGUCAAGGCAUGCUGUCUGAAUACCGUGGCUGAGUGCUGGGUUGAAUUCCCCGGGGUGAAGCGGGGAUCUGCUGGAGCCCUGCUGGGCAUAGGAUCACAGGCUCGCUCUGGGUGGGUGUGGGUGUGUGCGAGCCGUAUUCUUGUGGCUCACACCCUCCAGUUGCCAGUUGUUUGCGGCGGCUUGGAGCGGACUUCUCAGCCCAGCAGGGCUGAGUGCCGUCUGCGUCCACUCCGUGCAGAGGCUGGUUGUGUUGCUGCUGUGUCAGAACUUGUACAGCUGCAAGGGCUACUUCAGUUGAUGGUGUUUUGUUUUCUUUGUUAUUUGGAAAUUAAUUCAGGUGCUGUGGCUUACUGUGGCAGUUAUUUCCUGCUGGUGGUGUCUUCUUCACGGUCCCCCC